This 1610-nucleotide ribosomal RNA is filed under the name Salmonella enterica. RNAcentral's name for it is "partial 23S ribosomal RNA". It matches the Rfam family "Bacterial large subunit ribosomal RNA", at positions 1349 to 2925 of the family's 2925-position model. Lineage: Bacteria; Pseudomonadati; Pseudomonadota; Gammaproteobacteria; Enterobacterales; Enterobacteriaceae. The record is from RNAcentral.
GGGUUCCUGUCCAACGUUAAUCGGGGCAGGGUGAGUCGACCCCUAAGGCGAGGCCGAAAGGCGUAGUCGAUGGGAAACGGGUUAAUAUUCCCGUACUUGGUGUUACUGCGAAGGGGGGACGGAGAAGGCUAUGUUGGCCGGGCGACGGUUGUCCCGGUUUAAGCGUGUAGGUAUGUGUUCCAGGUAAAUCCGGUUCACUUUAACACUGAGGCGUGACGACGAGGCACUACGGUGCUGAAGCAACAAAUGCCCUGCUUCCAGGAAAAGCCUCUAAGCAUCAGGUAACAUCAAAUCGUACCCCAAACCGACACAGGUGGUCAGGUAGAGAAUACCAAGGCGCUUGAGAGAACUCGGGUGAAGGAACUAGGCAAAAUGGUGCCGUAACUUCGGGAGAAGGCACGCUGACACGUAGGUGAAGUGAUUUACUCACGGAGCUGAAGUCAGCCGAAGAUACCAGCUGGCUGCAACUGUUUAUUAAAAACACAGCACUGUGCAAACACGAAAGUGGACGUAUACGGUGUGACGCCUGCCCGGUGCCGGAAGGUUAAUUGAUGGGGUCAGCGCAAGCGAAGCUCCUGAUCGAAGCCCCGGUAAACGGCGGCCGUAACUAUAACGGUCCUAAGGUAGCGAAAUUCCUUGUCGGGUAAGUUCCGACCUGCACGAAUGGCGUAAUGAUGGCCAGGCUGUCUCCACCCGAGACUCAGUGAAAUUGAACUCGCUGUGAAGAUGCAGUGUACCCGCGGCAAGACGGAAAGACCCCGUGAACCUUUACUAUAGCUUGACACUGAACAUUGAGCCUUGAUGUGUAGGAUAGGUGGGAGGCUUUGAAGUGUGGACGCCAGUCUGCAUGGAGCCGACCUUGAAAUACCACCCUUUAAUGUUUGAUGUUCUAACGUGGACCCGUGAUCCGGGUUGCGGACAGUGUCUGGUGGGUAGUUUGACUGGGGCGGUCUCCUCCUAAAGAGUAACGGAGGAGCACGAAGGUUGGCUAAUCCUGGUCGGACAUCAGGAGGUUAGUGCAAUGGCAUAAGCCAGCUUGACUGCGAGCGUGACGGCGCGAGCAGGUGCGAAAGCAGGUCAUAGUGAUCCGGUGGUUCUGAAUGGAAGGGCCAUCGCUCAACGGAUAAAAGGUACUCCGGGGAUAACAGGCUGAUACCGCCCAAGAGUUCAUAUCGACGGCGGUGUUUGGCACCUCGAUGUCGGCUCAUCACAUCCUGGGGCUGAAGUAGGUCCCAAGGGUAUGGCUGUUCGCCAUUUAAAGUGGUACGCGAGCUGGGUUUAGAACGUCGUGAGACAGUUCGGUCCCUAUCUGCCGUGGGCGCUGGAGAACUGAGGGGGGCUGCUCCUAGUACGAGAGGACCGGAGUGGACGCAUCACUGGUGUUCGGGUUGUCAUGCCAAUGGCACUGCCCGGUAGCUAAAUGCGGAAGAGAUAAGUGCUGAAAGCAUCUAAGCACGAAACUUGCCCCGAGAUGAGUUCUCCCUGAGACUUUAGGUCUCCUGAAGGAACGUUGAAGACGACGACGUUGAUAGGCCGGGUGUGUAAGCGCAGCGAUGCGUUGAGCUAACCGGUACUAAUGAACCGUGAGGCUUAACCUUACAACGCCGAAG